GAUGAUGAUGAUGAUGAUGAUGAUGAUGAUGAUGAUGACAAACUAAAGUGUGUAAAUUUCCAUCUUAUAGGUUGAAAAGAUAGCAGGAGCUAAAGGAGAAAAGUCUUUGAUCCUCUCUAGAACACUUGUAAAGAUGCUAUCUCCUGGCUAAUCUUUAUGCAGCCCUUUCUUAGUGUUCACCAUUGAAGGAGGCAUGGAAGAGGCUGAAAGUGUUUGGUUUUGGAAACAAGAUGAUCUCAAGAAAUCGACAAAUAAACUUACAGCAAACCAAUUGCCAAGUAAGAUGUGAUUGUCCUGGUACCCUGAAGGAAGCCUCCACAGAGUCCGAAGGGGUCAUGGAAGAAAGACUAGGAAUUUCUUCAAGUGUGAAAAGAGUUCCUUCUCUCAUCUAUGGGAUCAGCUUGUAGAACUGCUUAUAAUCAGCAAACAGGUACCUCUGUAAGCACAACUCAGCAUCCCAGCAGUACAACCAUAGUCUUCUGUGUUAACGUCUCAAAGGUGAAGAAGACCAAGAAAAACCAACGCCACUGUAUCAGGAAAAGGCCACAGCAAGCUGACAGUUUUAAUAGACAUCUGCAAAACCUUGCAGCUACACAGGCUCCAGAAUUCAGAAACGUUGGGAUUCACAAUACUGUACUAUAAAACGCCACAGAGUCCAGGGAGAACUCCAUAACGAAGUGAAUUUCUUAUUUUUCUGAUGGCCAUGUUUGAAUUGUCACAGUAAGUGGUAUAAAGACAGAAGAUUGCCUCGUAAACAGGGCGAGGUUUUGUCACAGGGAGUCAUAAGCAAAAGAACAAACCACAAUCGCCCUUUCACAGGUCUUCAGAACUUAGUGAGUUUUACACUUGCAGGUAGGGAUCUUCAUUCAUGGUAGAAACCCCAUGAACAAAACAGCAGGAGCAGGAGCCACUUUACAAAUCCUCAACUCCAAAAUUACAUUCCACCACCGUCACAAAACCUUUUAGUUUUGUUAUUGUCGUUAACUAAAGGACAGGUGCAAACAUUCUUUAACUCCACUGCCACUUCCUCCCAGUGGACUGAUGGCUGACAACUCUCGAGCAUUUUUAUUCUUGCUUGUUUGUUCUACUUCACUCCUUAUCUAGUUUAACCUAGACAGAUCGCUGAUUCUAUGAUGUUCCUGCCAGCACCCCAAAUCCUCUUUUGCCUGCUCUCAGAGCCAGUUGGCCACCUUGUGUCCUGGAUUAACUCCCUACCUCCUGCUUUCUGCCCCUCUGCACCACAGGAGCUGAAUGUCCCCAUGGUAGGUGAGUUGGUGAAGGAAAACUGCCCCCUCCUUCUCCCUCUAUUUCUC
Molecule: small RNA, 1313 nt
Filed under: Rattus norvegicus (Norway rat)
Lineage: Eukaryota; Metazoa; Chordata; Mammalia; Rodentia; Muridae
Description: uncharacterized LOC103692433
Source: RNAcentral